CUUGCAUUGCAGGGAUACUUGAAGCUAGGGCAAUCCAAGUAAGAUAGCUUCAUCCUCAGGCAACAGGUUUAUGUUAUCUUAUCAUGGAGUCAUUUUUAAGUUUGUGCCCAACGCCUUCAUCCUUAGAAUGGCUGCCCAGAUGGCAAGCCACCGUACUCAGGCGACUGCCGCGCUAGGUAUUCUCGACCACUGCUGCAGUUUUUCAUUGCCGUGCUUAUUCCAUUUGCACCAACCUUGCUAUUUAGUAAAAUGAACGUCUCUGUUUCUUCUACUACAAUGACAUGAUAAGAUUACCUUAUCCCUUUCAGCAGGGUGCUCCAACUUUUGAUGCUGGCGAAGCUUUUGGAAUGAUGGCUACAUAAUUUGUUAGUCUCCGUUGGAAGCUUAAUUAAACUGAGGUAAAUAUGCCAGAUUCUUUUGUCAAAUAAUAACAUGACUGUCUAUUUUGUUCUUAGGACCAAUAUCUGUGCCUAUCAAUGAAAUUUUGAGAGUAGUUUUUGGUGCCUCUAUGUAACCCUGAUAGCAGCUUCUCUGAAGGUUCAGAUGUGUGGCAAAGGAUUUCAAUUUUCCUGUUUACACAAAGGAAACUUGAGGAAGGUUCAGAUUUUUCAUGCUCGGUGCUGUGCUCUCAAGGUUACAUAGACAAAAAUGCCUCCUAUUUACACAACGGCAACCCGACGAAGGUUCAGAUUUCUCAUGACUGGUUCAAUGGGUAUUUCAUGCCUGUGCCAUCUUAAUUAUUAGGAAAAUGUAGUUUGUUUUAUAGCUGAUGAUGCUCGAUGCUUUUUACCUCAGUUUAGUAAAUGCUCAGUUUUAGCUCAUAAACUACAUGGCAAAUAGGAUGACGGGGCGGGGCGGGAGGCGGGGAAAGCCGUCCAUGGCGAUCCUGGUGGCGUUUCUAAUGGCGCCAUUGGCACUGCCGCUCCUCAUGGUGCCCGACACGCUCUCUAUGCCAGGCUCCAACCGCGUGUAUCGCGGCGCCGCCCUGUCGCUCCCACGCCCGUGCUUCAGCAGAUCCGUG
RNAcentral lists this long non-coding RNA (1021 nucleotides) under Triticum aestivum (bread wheat). Its description in RNAcentral is "long non-coding RNA (TAES_LNC015303)". Lineage: Eukaryota; Viridiplantae; Streptophyta; Magnoliopsida; Poales; Poaceae. The record is from RNAcentral.